UACACUGGGAAUAGAGCACCCAGUCACCACACUGAUACACCCGGAGAAGUCCCUUCCCUUUUAUAUUUUGUUUUUGGACAACAUCUGGAGGGCUACAGUUUAGAGACCACUGUAUAUUUCCGUAGGAUCCAGCAAGCGAGCAGCACGACAUCGCCGCCCGUCGAUCACCGUCGCCCGCAGCCUCCGCAGAUCGGUCCCCAACAGCUCCUUUCGGGCCCUCGAUGCCUGCUCUUGAGACGAAAGGAAUAGCAUGCCAGUGGAUCUGUAGGAACGGACCUUGAUAUCCGCACCCAAUAACACAUGAGGUGUUCGUAUACUAGAUGGAGUUCCUCUUAUCAAUGUUGUACAUCGUACCAUCCGUUUCAAGCCCAAUGCGUGGAGCUUCGAGUCCCUCCGAUGGAUGAUGCUGUGCAUUGUACUAUUCCUAUUGGGCUCAGCCUGUUUAAAGCUUAUGGCUUAAAGUAAAGAUCAAGAAGGACAUUAAUCAUGGAUACGAUUGUUUUGCAUGUCCUACUUGAGAGCAUUAUGGACCACCUCUGACCUCAAUUAAGAGAACCCCCCCCCCCCCCCUUUCUUCAUUUUUCAUGAUUUAAGUGCUGGACCUUAC
This is a long non-coding RNA of Hyla sarda, 607 nucleotides long. RefSeq lists it as uncharacterized. The transcript has 4 exons. The record is from RefSeq and is a predicted model, not a curated record. Lineage: Eukaryota; Metazoa; Chordata; Amphibia; Anura; Hylidae.